UCUCAUUAAUUAUUGCCAUUAUGGAAGAAUAGUGCCACUAUGGACAUUAUGAACCAUUACAAAUCCUACCGGGCAUUUUUUUGGAUGCAUGGUGUAUGAGGCAUGUUGCCAUUGCUCCAAGAUUCUUGAUUAUUAUCCUAUUUUGUUGUUCAUUCUUCAAUCUCAACUUGUUCCAGGUAAAUUGUGAUUAUGGUUAGUCCCAUUAUAUGGCCCGCCUUCACAUGUAUGGAAGCAAAAUAAUUAAUAGAUUUUUGCAGUGUACA
This 263-nucleotide long non-coding RNA is filed under the name Elaeis guineensis (African oil palm). RNAcentral's name for it is "long non-coding RNA (EGUI_LNC063621)". The record is from RNAcentral. Lineage: Eukaryota; Viridiplantae; Streptophyta; Magnoliopsida; Arecales; Arecaceae.